RNAcentral lists this unclassified non-coding RNA (251 nucleotides) under uncultured Tubeufiales. RNAcentral describes it as "sequence contains 5.8S rRNA gene, ITS2, 28S rRNA gene". Lineage: Eukaryota; Fungi; Ascomycota; Dothideomycetes. The record is from RNAcentral.
AACGCACAUUGCGCCCUUUGGUAUUCCGAGGGGCAUGCCUGUUCGAGCGUCAUUUCAAACCCUCAAGCUUCGGCUUGGUAUUGGAUCUUCGUCCGUCACUGGACGUGUCCGAAACUCGUAGGCGGUGGUAUCCAACUCCCAAGCGUAGUCAAUUCUCUCGCUUCCGGAAGAAGACGUCACCCGCCUGACAACCACACCUUUUUUACUCAUGGUUUGACCUCGGAUCAGGUAGGGAUACCCGCUGAACUUAA